AGAGUUUGAUCCUGGCUCAGAGUGAACGCUGGCGGCGUGCUUAACACAUGCAAGUCGAACGAGAACGGAUUAUAGCUUGCUAUAAUUGUCAGCUAAGUGGCGCACGGGUGAGUAAUAUAUAGGUAACGUGCCCUAGAGAGGGGGAUAACAAUUGGAAACGAUUGCUAACACCCCAUAUGCCUUUAAUACACAUGUAUGCAAGGGAAAUAUUUAUAGCUCUGGGAUCGGCCUGUACGGUAUCAGCUAGUUGGUGAGGUAAUGGCUCACCAAGGCAAUGACACCUAACUGGUUUGAGAGGAUGAUCAGUCACACUGGAACUGAGACACGGUCCAGACUCCUACGGGAGGCAGCAGUGGGGAAUAUUGCACAAUGGACGAAAGUCUGAUGCAGCAACGCCGCGUGGAGGAUGACACAUUUCGGUGCGUAAACUCCUUUUCUAUAGGAAGAUAAUGACGGUGCUNUAGA
This 465-nucleotide ribosomal RNA is filed under the name uncultured Campylobacterota bacterium. Its description in RNAcentral is "bacterial SSU rRNA". It matches the Rfam family "Bacterial small subunit ribosomal RNA", at positions 8 to 484 of the family's 1533-position model. The record is from RNAcentral. Lineage: Bacteria; Pseudomonadati; Campylobacterota.